This 1179-nucleotide ribosomal RNA is filed under the name Triticum aestivum (bread wheat). RNAcentral describes it as "partial small subunit ribosomal RNA". The record is from RNAcentral. Lineage: Eukaryota; Viridiplantae; Streptophyta; Magnoliopsida; Poales; Poaceae.
AUGGACUUUGUUUUAGGUUUACCUCGAACAAAGAAGGGGAGGGAUAGCAUAUUUGUUGUCGUGGAUAGAUUCUCGAAAAUGGCACACUUUAUACCAUGUCAUAAAAGCGAUGAUGCUGUUAAUGUUGCUGAUUUGUUCUUUCGUGAAAUUAUUCGCUUGCAUGGUGUGCCAAAUACUAUUGUUUCAGAUCGUGAUACUAAAUUUCAUAGCCACUUUUGGAGAUGUUUAUGGGCUAAGUUGGGGACUAAAUUGCUUUCUAGUACUACUUGUCACCCCCAAACUGAUGGACAAACUGAAGUAGUCAAUAGAACAUUGUCUACUAUGCUUAGGGCUGUUUUGAAGAAUAAUAAGAAAAUGUGGGAAGAAUGCUUGCCUCAUAUUGAAUUUGCUUAUAAUCGUUCAUUACAUUCUACUACUAAGAUGUGCCCUUUUGAAAUUGUGUAUGGUUUCCUACCUCGUGCACCAAUUGAUUUGUUGCCUCUUCCAUCUUCGGAGAAGGUUAAUUUUGAUGCUAAAGAACGUGCUGAAUUGAUUUUAAAAAUGCAUGAGUUAACUAAGGAAAACAUUGAGCUUAUGAAUGCUAAAUAUAAACUUGCUGGAAAUAAGAGUAGAAAACAUGUUGUGUUUGCACCUGGAGAUCUUGUUUGGUUACAUUUGCGUAAGGAUAGAUUUCCUAAUUUGCGCAAAUCAAAGCUAAUGCCACGUGCUGAUGGUCCUUUUAAGGUGUUAGAGAAAAUAAAUGAUAAUGCAUAUAAACAUGAGCUACCUGCAGAUUUUGGGGUUAGUCCCACAUUUAACAUUGCAGAUUUGAAGCCUUAUUUGGGUGAGGAAGAUGAGCUUCCGUCGAGGACGACUUCAUUUCAAGAAGGGGAGGAUGAUGAGGACAUCAAUACCAUUGUUACACCCACAGCCCCUACUGUUACAUAUAAUGGACCAAUUACUAGAGCUCGCGCACGCCAAUUAAAUUACCAGGUACUUUCGUUUCUUGGUAAUGAUUCUAAUGUUCAUGAGAAUAUGAUGCUGCCUAAAUUGGAUACUUUUGUUUUGCUUACAAAUGAAGGGCCUAGCUUGGAGAAGGAUGAACAUUGGAGCAAGAAAAAGCAUGGAGUUGAUGGCAUGUGCAAGGGGAACAAGAACGGAGUUACAAGUGAUGAUUUCAGGACUUUGAAGCCACCAUAA